GAUGAACGCUGGCGGCGUGCCUAAUACAUGCAAGUCGAGCGAACAGACGAGGAGCUUGCUCCUCUGACGUUAGCGGCGGACGGGUGAGUAACACGUGGAUAACCUACCUAUAAGACUGGGAUAACUUCGGGAAACCGGAGCUAAUACCGGAUAAUAUAUUGAACCGCAUGGUUCAAUAGUGAAAGACGGUUUUGCUGUCACUUAUAGAUGGAUCCGCGCCGCAUUAGCUAGUUGGUAAGGUAACGGCUUACCAAGGCAACGAUGCGUAGCCGACCUGAGAGGGUGAUCAGCCACACUGGAACUGAGACACGGUCCAGACUCCUACGGGAGGCAGCAGUAGGGAAUCUUCCGCAAUGGGCGAAAGCCUGACGGAGCAACACCGCGUGAGUGAUGAAGGUCUUCGGAUCGUAAAGCUCUGUUAUUAGGGAAGAACAAAUGUGUAAGUAACUAUGCACGUCUUGACGGUACCUAAUCAGAAAGCCACGGCUAACUACGUG
RNAcentral lists this ribosomal RNA (497 nucleotides) under uncultured bacterium. Its description in RNAcentral is "partial 16S ribosomal RNA". It matches the Rfam family "Bacterial small subunit ribosomal RNA", at positions 28 to 507 of the family's 1533-position model. The record is from RNAcentral.